AUUGGACAAUGGGGGCAGACCUGAUCCAGCAAUGCCGCGUGUGUGAAGAAGGCUUUCGGGUUGUAAAGCACUUUUGUCCGGGAAGAGAAAAUCGUCGUGGCUAAUACCCGUGGCGGAUGACGGUACCGGAAGAAUAAGCACCGGCUAACUACGUUGCCAGCAGCCGCGGUAAUACGUAGGGUGCAAGCGUUAAUCGGAAUUACUGGGCGUAAAGCGUGCGCAGGCGGUUCGCUAAGACAGAUGUGAAAUCCCCGGGCUUAACCUGGGAACUGCAUUUGUGACUGGCGGGCUAGAGUAUGGCAGAGGGGGGUAGAAUUCCACGUGUAGCAGUGAAAUGCGUAGAGAUGUGGAGGAAUACCGAUGGCGAAGGCAGCCCCCUGGGCCAAUACUGACGCUCAUGCACGAAAGCGUGGGGAGCAAACAGGAUUAGAUACCCUGGUAGUCCACGCCCUAAACGAUGUCAACUGGUUGUCGGGCCUUCAUUGGCUUGGUAACGUAGCUAACGCGUGAAGUUGACCGCCUGGGGAGUACGGUCGCAAGAUUAAAACUCAAAGGAAUUGACGGGGACCCGCACAAGCGGUGGAUGAUGUGGAUUAAUUCGAUGCAACGCGAAAAACCUUACCUACCCUUGACAUGUACGGAACCCUGCUGAGAGGUGGGGGUGCCCGAAAGGAGAGCCGUAACACAGGUGCUGCAUGGACUGUCGCCAGUCUCGUGUCGUGAGA
This 725-nucleotide ribosomal RNA is filed under the name Burkholderia sp. RNAcentral's name for it is "bacterial SSU rRNA". It matches the Rfam family "Bacterial small subunit ribosomal RNA", at positions 363 to 1072 of the family's 1533-position model. Lineage: Bacteria; Pseudomonadati; Pseudomonadota; Betaproteobacteria; Burkholderiales; Burkholderiaceae. The record is from RNAcentral.